This 301-nucleotide ribosomal RNA is filed under the name uncultured bacterium. RNAcentral describes it as "partial 16S ribosomal RNA". It matches the Rfam family "Bacterial small subunit ribosomal RNA", at positions 509 to 807 of the family's 1533-position model. The record is from RNAcentral.
CAGUAGCCGCGGGAAUACGGAGGGUGCAAGCGUUGUCCGGAUUUAUUGGGUUUGAAGGGUGCGUAGGCGGCUAUUUAAGUCAGCGGUGAAAGACUCCGGCUCAACCGGGGCAGUGCCAUUGAUACUGGAUAGCUUGAGUGUUGGAGGGGUACAUGGAAUUGAUGGUGUAGCGGUGAAAUGCAUAGAUACCAUCAGGAACACCGAUGGCGAAGGCAAUCCCCUGGGCCUGCACUGACGCUCACGCACGAAAGCGUGGGGAGCAAACAGGAUUAGAUACCCGUGUAGUCCCUGUCUCUUAUAC